This 407-nucleotide ribosomal RNA is filed under the name Anelosimus potmosbi. RNAcentral describes it as "partial 16S ribosomal RNA". The record is from RNAcentral. Lineage: Eukaryota; Metazoa; Arthropoda; Arachnida; Araneae; Theridiidae.
AAUUAAAUAGCCGCAAUUUUCUGUGCUAAGGUAGCAUAAUCAUUUGUUUUUUAAUUAAAAACUAGAAUGAAAGGUAAAACAUUUAAAUUACUUUAUUAAAUUAAUAUUUUAAAUUUAUAUUAAAUAUAAAAAUAUAUUUUUAAUAAAAAAAGACGACAAGACCCUAUUAAACUUAACUUAUGUUAAACUGGGGCAGUUUACUAAUAAAAAUUUUAGUUUAAUUUAAUUUUAAUUCAAAAAUAUCUAAUUAUAUUAAAUAAACAAGUUACUAUAGGGAUAACAGCGUUAUAUUUUUUAAAAGUUCAUAUUUAAAAUAAUGAUUGCGACCUCGAUGUUGAAUUAUAUUUCUAUAAUAAAGCAACCAUUUUAUAAGUAGGUCUGUUCGACCUUUAAAAUAUUACAUGAUC